Long non-coding RNA from Tympanuchus pallidicinctus (lesser prairie-chicken), 1567 nucleotides. RefSeq lists it as uncharacterized. The record is from RefSeq and is a predicted model, not a curated record. The transcript has 4 exons. Lineage: Eukaryota; Metazoa; Chordata; Aves; Galliformes; Phasianidae.
GUUGAGUGUGGCGUUAGGCCGCCUCGGCCCGCGGGGCGGGCGGGUUGGCGGUGUGCGCGCUGCCGUUGUGCGGGAUGAGCAGGAAGGGUGUGAGAGAAUGUGGGGGACGUAGAAUGCCAUCUCCAGUAUCCCAGGAAGGGAUUGGAUAUCAGGAUUGCGAGCAGUGGGUUUCUGUGCACAGAUGAUGUUUUCCAAGGAGAGCAGAUCCACACAUACCUCCCAAGGAAAACUGAUUUGGCAUGAGCCAUGCAGAACCCACGGGCACCCAGGGGAAGGAGAAGGUGCUUGGCAGUGCAAAAUGAUGGCUACUUUGCGCCAGGAAGGCAGGAGGGGCAACACCUGCAUUUGGGGACCCUGCCAAAGCCCUGUGUUCCAUCCAAGAGCAUCACGCUGGCGGCCUGCUGUCCCUGAGCUGCCCUGAGAUGGCCAGGGAGGGCCCUGCGCCCGGGCGCGCAGCCCUGCAGCCACCCGAGCAUCCUCGCCGCGGGUGUCGGCGUGCCCCGAGCUGUGAGUGCCUCCUCGCUGCCCUCUCCUGGCCCCUGCCGACGCUGCAGAGGUCGGAGCCUCCUCGCUGCCCUAUGCCCCUUCUGUUUCGUGCAGUUCUUCGAGGUACGGUCACUGUCGUACCCUGAAUGGGAACGACGCCUUCCACCGGAACAUCGGGAACAGGGCAAAUCUCACUGCAUCACACAACAGAGCCAUUUAGAAAUGCCUUUACAUUUUCUUGCACAUAGAUAUAUCAAGGAAGGCAGGUUGACUUCCUGCUCACAGUGUGCCAGUUAAUCUCCAGGCAUUAAUGAAACUUCACCUUUUGGCAACAACUGUCAGUCACAGCAGCUCCCCACACCUGCAGCACACACGCUCUUGUUGCCUUCCUCCUCCUACCCAGCACGGGGUUGAUGUCAGACAAUUAUUGCCUUUCAAACUCUAUUGAUUCCUUUUUUACAACAGGUUCCAGUGACAAACAUUUAUAAACAGUGAUGGGAUCUUCUCUGUGCAGUGAAGAAUGCCAACACACAAAUGUGGUUCUCCUUUGGUCCCAGCCUUCUUCCUUGGCACAAUACCAAUCAACACUUUGCUGAUUACUGAUAAUUUUGCUCGUUGUGCCCAGAGCUGCAUGUGUCAGUUUGUGUUAGUGACAAAACUGGUCUGUUUUGUCCAAAACAAAACAAAUUUAAAACACUAACACGUUCCUCUUAAAAAGCAUUCACUGGCAUGAAAUUUUAGUCCUGCUUUUUGCAAAAGUUACAAAGUUUCUGACUCAAUCGUCACUGUGGAGCCCUGGGUUCCCACUUUCCCCUUGUACUGUCUGUGAAUGGUACCCACAAGAAGCACGGCUGCUGCUUCAGUUCAUUAUGAGGGGAUCUGUGCUGCCUCGGGGAAUUUUAAGACUCCAACUACCGAGGAAAGUUGAAAACUGCUGUUCUACUUGGUCUGAAAAAUGAUUUAGAUCUCCAUAGGCACCUGGUGCUUUUUCAUUUUAGUCUUGCAAGAGCUUAAUUACACAAGUGAUUCUACUAACUGUUAACACUGAAGCUGACAAAAGUAAAAUACUGCAUUGCAAUCA